UCCGGUAUAACUAAGACUCAAAACAUUUACUAGACUCGACUCGGCCAAAUACGAUCACACAAAGGCUCCUAUGGUCGUAAGGCUCUGAUUACCAACUUGUAACGACCAAGAUGCGGUCCUUUCCGAUCUGGGGGUCGAGGCCCCGAAUAGGAAAGAAGCGCAUCUAAGUGUUUUGCAAGCAAGUAAACAUAGCACAUAAUAAUAAAUAAAG
RNAcentral lists this long non-coding RNA (211 nucleotides) under Hordeum vulgare. RNAcentral describes it as "long non-coding RNA (HVUL_LNC002866)". Lineage: Eukaryota; Viridiplantae; Streptophyta; Magnoliopsida; Poales; Poaceae. The record is from RNAcentral.